This is a non-coding RNA of Cinara cedri, 631 nucleotides long. NCBI's taxonomy places the organism in Eukaryota, Metazoa, Arthropoda, Insecta, Hemiptera, Aphididae. The record is from the annotation of a GenBank genome assembly.
CAAAACAAUUUUAGCCACAUAAAUAAAUCGGUAAAAACUGUAAUACUCGACAUUUUCAAAUGGUUAUAAAUAACUUAAAAAAGGUCAAAUUAUCUAUUAUUACAGAUAAUAGGAAAAUCUUGGGUCUACGAAAUUUAAACAAAAAAUGAAUAUCGAAAAUAAUAGAAACCAUUAUUGCAUAAACUAUCACGUUUUCUCCAAUAUCAAAAAACUACAAGGAAAUAAAUAAAAAAAAUUGUUUUAACGCAUCGGAACGAGACGAAAUAUUCUGGUAAAAAAGUUUUUUACAGACAGACAAAAUACAAAGCACACAUCAUAUUUAUAGUAAAUCCAAUUUACGCAUUCCUCGUUACGCUCAGCAUAAUAUAUUUAAUGAACUAAACUAGGUAUAAUAAAUCAUAUAAAAUCGAAAAAUUACUAAUUGUAUAAGAAUUAUAUAUACUGUAUGCGUAGGUACUUAAAUAUUUCUUUGGUCUCGGACAAAUUUUUUUUUUUUUUUUCUUAACUAUUUCAUCUCGUGCAAUAUUUGUUUAAACUUUAUUUGUCGAUCGAAAUGACAUAGGUGUGUGCACUUUCAAAAUUAGCGUUUUUGCGUUUGAACAAAAUUCAAUUUCCUCGUAUCGAAUAUUGU